Molecule: RNA transcript, 1508 nt
Organism: Rhinopithecus roxellana (golden snub-nosed monkey)
Lineage: Eukaryota; Metazoa; Chordata; Mammalia; Primates; Cercopithecidae
Gene name: protein PIMREG pseudogene
Exons: 1
Source: RefSeq, a predicted model, not a curated record
CGGCUGUGAUCCGCGUUGGUGCUGUCCGGGUCUAGUGGACAGAGAAGACUCUUGGUCAGGCAAAUGGCUUCUCGGUGGCAGAGCAUGGGGACCUCUGUGCGCCGGAGAUCUCUCCGGCACCAGGAGCAGCUGGAGGACAGCAAGGAGCUGCAGCCUGGGGCCAGCCAUCAGGAGACCUCUGCAGGGGCCCUGGGGUCUCUGUGCAGACAGUUCCAAAGGAGGCUGCCCCUGAGAGCCGUCAACCUCAACCUCUGCACAGGCCCCUCCUGGAAGCGCCUGGAAACCGCAGAGCCAGGUCAGCAGGGCCUCCAGGCUGCAGCUCGCUCAGCUAAGAGCGCUUUGGGUGCCAUGUCCCAGAGAAUCCAAGAGUCCUGCCAAAGUGGCACCAAGUGGCUGGUGGAAACGCACGUGAAGGCCAGGAGGCGGAAGAGAGGCGCACAGAAGGGCAGUGGAUCCCCAACUCACAGCCUGAGCCAGAAGAGCACUCGGCUGUCUGGAGCCGCCCCUGCCCACUCUGCCACAGACCCCUGGGAGAAGGAGCAUCACCACCUCUCGGCCCGAAUGGGCUCACGUGCCCACCCAUUACGGCGGUCAAGGCGGGAGGCUGCCUUCCGGAGCCCCUACUCCUCAACAGAGCCCCUCUGCUCUCCCAGCGAGUCUGACAGUGACCCAGAGCCUGUGGGGGCAGGAAUCCAGCAUCUCCAGAAGCUGUCCCAAGAGCUAGAUGAAGCCAUUAUGGCGGAAGAGAGUGGUGACAUCGUCUCUCUCAUUCAUGACUGAGGAAGUGCCUGCAGGAAACAAGCCCUAUCUGACCGCCAAGUCUUCAUACUCAAGGAUGUCUAUGCUUCCCCAUGAGCUUCCCGGAGGAAACCCCCAGGAGUUGUCAGUACCCCCGGGCCACUGCUAACAAGCACCUAACAAGGGGCCCAGAGCCCCCUGCUCCGGCCACAUCUGGACCCAUCAGUGACUGCCUGCCAUAGCCUGAGAGUGUCUUGGGGAGACCUUGCAGAAGGGGAGAAUUGUUCCUUCUGCUUUCCCAGGGGACUCUUGAGCUUAGAAACUCAUCGUACACUUGACCUUGAGCCUUCUAUUUGCCUCAUCUAUAACGUGAAGUGCUAGCCUCAGAUGUUUGAGAGCUCUUAGCUGUGUACCCACGUGCCUGGUUUUUGGGGAGUCAUCCGCAGAGUCACUCACCCACCGUGUUUCUGGUGCCAAGGCUCUUGGGGGCCCCAUUGUCAUCCCCGCUUUCCCUACCAGGGACUCGGAGGAAGGCAUAGGAGAUAUUUCCAGACUUACGACCCUGGGCUCACGGGUACCUAUUUAUAUGCUCAACGCGGAGUACUGUGGGUGUGCCGGGAGGGGGUAGCCCUGUUCAAAAGCAAUUUCUGCCGUGUGUAAAUUAUUUAAGAAACCUGCUUUGUCAUUGUAUAAGAAACCAGCGUGUGACUUUCCUAGAUAACACUGCUUUCUCAUAAUAAAGACUGUUGGCAUUUGAAAAAAAAAAAAAA